Molecule: ribosomal RNA, 253 nt
Filed under: uncultured bacterium
Lineage: Bacteria
Description: partial 16S ribosomal RNA
Rfam family: Bacterial small subunit ribosomal RNA
Source: RNAcentral
UACGGAGGGUGCAAGCGUUAUCCGGAUUCACUGGGUUUAAAGGGUGCGUAGGAGGGCAGGUAAGUCAGUGGUGAAAUCUCCAAGCUUAACUUGGAAACUGCCGUUGAUACUAUCUGUCUUGAAUAUUGUGGAGGUGAGCGGAAUAUGUCAUGUAGCGGUGAAAUGCUUAGAUAUGACGUAGAACACCAAUUGCGAAGGCAGCUCACUACACAAUUAUUGACUCUGAGGCACGAAAGCGUGGGGAUCAAACAGG